CCUAGGUGGCUGCAGUGGGGAAUAUUGGACAAUGGGCGAAAGCCUGAUCCAGCCAUGCCGCGUGUGUGAAGAAGGCCUUCGGGUUGUAAAGCACUUUCAGUGGGGAAGAAAGCCUUGGGGCUAAUACCCUCGAGGAAGGACAUCACCCACAGAAGAAGCACCGGCUAACUCCGUGCCAGCAGCCGCGGUAAUACGGAGGGUGCGAGCGUUAAUCGGAAUUACUGGGCGUAAAGCGCGCGUAGGCGGUCUGAUAAGCCGGUUGUGAAAGCCCCGGGCUCAACCUGGGAACGGCAUCCGGAACUGUCAGGCUAGAGUGCAGGAGAGGAAGGUAGAAUUCCCGGUGUAGCGGUGAAAUGCGUAGAGAUCGGGAGGAAUACCAGUGGCGAAGGCGGCCUUCUGGACUGACACUGACGCUGAGGUGCGAAAGCGUGGGUAGCAAACAGGAUUAGAUACCCCUGUAGUC
This 463-nucleotide ribosomal RNA is filed under the name Vreelandella stevensii. RNAcentral's name for it is "partial 16S ribosomal RNA". It matches the Rfam family "Bacterial small subunit ribosomal RNA", at positions 338 to 795 of the family's 1533-position model. Lineage: Bacteria; Pseudomonadati; Pseudomonadota; Gammaproteobacteria; Oceanospirillales; Halomonadaceae. The record is from RNAcentral.